GCAUAUCAAUAAGCGGAGGAAAAGAAACUAACAAGGAUUCCCCUAGUAACGGCGAGUGAAGCGGGAAGAGCUCAAAUUUGUAAUCUGGCACCUUCGGUGUCCGAGUUGUAAUCUCGAGAAGUGUUUUCCGCGCCGGACCGCAUACAAGUCUGUUGGAAUACAGCGUCAUAGUGGUGAGAACCCCGUAACUGAUGCGGAUGCCCGGUGCUUUGUGAUACACUUUCGAAGAGUCGAGUUGUUUGGGAAUGCAGCUCAAAUUGGGUGGUAAAUUCCAUCUAAAGCUAAAUAUUGGCGAGAGACCGAUAGCGAACAAGUACCGUGAGGGAAAGAUGAAAAGCACUUUGGAAAGAGAGUUAACAGUACGUGAAAUUGUUGGAAGGGAAACGCUUGAAGUCAGACUUGCUAUUUGGAAUUCAGCCGCAAGGUGUACUUUUCAAUUCGCAGGCCAGCAUCAGUUUUCGGGGGUGGAAAAGGGUAGAGAGAAGGUAGCAAUUUCGGUUGUGUUAUAGCUCUUUGCUGGAUUCAUCCUUGGGGACUGAGGAACGCAGCACGCUUUUUGCAAGGCUUUCGAGCUUUCGUGCU
This 582-nucleotide ribosomal RNA is filed under the name Phenoliferia psychrophenolica. RNAcentral describes it as "eukaryotic LSU rRNA". It matches the Rfam family "Eukaryotic large subunit ribosomal RNA", at positions 38 to 627 of the family's 3401-position model. Lineage: Eukaryota; Fungi; Basidiomycota; Microbotryomycetes; Kriegeriales; Kriegeriaceae. The record is from RNAcentral.